This 1048-nucleotide ribosomal RNA is filed under the name Janibacter sp. DE08. RNAcentral's name for it is "bacterial SSU rRNA". It matches the Rfam family "Bacterial small subunit ribosomal RNA", at positions 459 to 1513 of the family's 1533-position model. The record is from RNAcentral. Lineage: Bacteria; Bacillati; Actinomycetota; Actinomycetes; Micrococcales; Intrasporangiaceae.
AAGAAGCGAAGUGACGGUACUGCAGAGAGCACCGCUACUACGUGCCAGCAGCGCGGUAUACGUAAGGGUGCGAGCGUUGUCGAAUUAUUGGGCGUAAAGAGCUGUAGCGGUUUGUCGCGUCUGCUGUGAAAAUCCGGGGCUCAACCCCGGACUUGCAGUGGGUACGGGCAGACUAGAGUGUGGUAGGGGAGACUGGAAUUCCUGGUGUAGCGGUGAAAUGCGCAGAUAUCAGGAGGAACACCGAUGGCGAAGGCAGGUCUCUGGGCCACUACUGACGCUGAGAAGCGAAAGCAUGGGGAGCGAACAGGAUUAGAUACCCUGGUAGUCCAUGCCGUAAACGUUGGGCGCUAGGUGUGGGACUCAUUCCACGAGUUCCGUGCCGCAGCUAACGCAUUAAGCGCCCCGCCUGGGGAGUACGGCCGCAAGGCUAAAACUCAAAGGAAUUGACGGGGGCCCGCACAAGCGGCGGAGCAUGCGGAUUAAUUCGAUGCAACGCGAAGAACCUUACCAAGGCUUGACAUAUACCGGAAACUUCCAGAGAUGGUUGCCCCCUUUGGGUCGGUAUACAGGUGGUGCAUGGUUGUCGUCAGCUCGUGUCGUGAGAUGUUGGGUUAAGUCCCGCAACGAGCGCAACCCUCGUUCUAUGUUGCCAGCACGUAAUGGUGGGGACUCAUGGAAGACUGCCGGGGUCAACUCGGAGGAAGGUGGGGAUGACGUCAAAUCAUCAUGCCCCUUAUGUCUUGGGCUUCACGCAUGCUACAAUGGCCGGUACAAAGGGCUGCGAUGCCGUAAGGUGGAGCGAAUCCCAAAAAACCGGUCUCAGUUCGGAUUGGGGUCUGCAACUCGACCCCAUGAAGUCGGAGUCGCUAGUAAUCGCAGAUCAGCAACGCUGCGGUGAAUACGUUCCCGGGCCUUGUACACACCGCCCGUCAAGUCACGAAAGUCGGUAACACCCGAAGCCGGUGGCCCAACCCUUGUGGGGGGAGCCGUCGAAGGUGGGACCGGCGAUUGGGACUAAGUCGUAACAAGGUAGCCGUAAAUCGAAUUC